RNAcentral lists this ribosomal RNA (497 nucleotides) under uncultured bacterium. RNAcentral describes it as "partial 16S ribosomal RNA". It matches the Rfam family "Bacterial small subunit ribosomal RNA", at positions 28 to 507 of the family's 1533-position model. The record is from RNAcentral.
GACGAACGCUGGCGGCGUGCCUAAUACAUGCAAGUCGAGCGAUGAAGCUUGGUGCUUGCACCAAUUUGAAGAGCAGCGAACGGGUGAGUAACGCGUGGGGAAUCUGCCUUUGAGCGGGGGACAACAUUUGGAAACGAAUGCUAAUACCGCAUAACAACUUUAAACAUAAGUUUUAAGUUUGAAAGAUGCAAUUGCAUCACUCAAAGAUGAUCCCGCGUUGUAUUAGCUAGUUGGUGAGGUAAAGGCUCACCAAGGCGAUGAUACAUAGCCGACCUGAGAGGGUGAUCGGCCACAUUGGGACUGUGACACGGCCCAAACGCCUUCGGGAAGCAGCAGUAGGGAAUCUUCGGGCAUGGACGAAAGUCUGACCGAGCAACGCCGCGUGAGUGAAGAAGGUUUUCGGGUCGUAAAACUCUGUUGGUAGGGAAGAACGUUGGUGAGAGUGGAAAGCUCAUCAAGUGACGGUAACUACCCAGAAAGGGACGGCUAACUACGUG